AGGGGGAUAACUACUGGAAACGGUAGCUAAUACCGCAUAGCGUCGCAAGACCAAAGUGGGGGACCUUCGGGCCUCAUGCCAUCAGAUGUGCCCAGAUGGGAUUAGCUAGUAGGUGGGGUAAUGGCUCACCUAGGCGACGAUCCCUAGCUGGUCUGAGAGGAUGACCAGCCACACUGGAACUGAGACACGGUCCAG
RNAcentral lists this ribosomal RNA (195 nucleotides) under uncultured Enterobacterales bacterium. RNAcentral describes it as "partial 16S ribosomal RNA". It matches the Rfam family "Bacterial small subunit ribosomal RNA", at positions 137 to 334 of the family's 1533-position model. The record is from RNAcentral. Lineage: Bacteria; Pseudomonadati; Pseudomonadota; Gammaproteobacteria; Enterobacterales.